GAUGAACGCUGGCGGCGUGCCUAAUACAUGCAAGUCGAACGCUGGAACUCUAGCUUGCUAGAUUGAAGGAGUGGCGAACGGGUGAGUAAUACAUAAGCAACCUACCCACGAAGACUGGGAUAAUCUCUGGAAACGGGGACUAAUACCGGAUAGGUAAUCGGAAGGCAUCUUCUGAUUAUUAAAGGUUACAAACACUGGUGGAUGGGCUUAUGGCGCAUUAGUUAGUUGGUGAGGUAACGGCCCACCAAGACGAUGAUGCGUAGCCGGCCUGAGAGGGUGAACGGCCACAUUGGGACUGAGACACGGCCCAGACUCCUACGGGAGGCAGCAGUAGGGAAGUUUCGGCAAUGGGGGAAACCCUGACCGAGCAACGCCGCGUGAGUGAUGACGGCCUUCGGGUUGUAAAGCUCUGUUGUAAGGGAAGAACGGUAGAUAGAGAAUAUCUAAAUGACGGUACCUUACCAGAAAGCCACGGCUAACUACGUG
Molecule: ribosomal RNA, 486 nt
Filed under: uncultured bacterium
Lineage: Bacteria
Description: partial 16S ribosomal RNA
Rfam family: Bacterial small subunit ribosomal RNA
Source: RNAcentral